UACCCGAUGCAUCUCUGUAACAAUAUGCGCGUAUGUGCACGGUUAUCACGUCUUACGUCUCUUUGUUCGUUGUAGAUCCGACCGAUACACGAUGCAAUCUAACGGCUGAUCGCGGAUGGGAUGAACGUAUUAAAUAUGUAUGUGGCACGGAAAGACGGAUGCACUGAGAUGCAUCGCGCUGAAGAUAAUCCUCGUAGAAAGUUACGACACACAGGAAAAAGAACUGCUGCUGUUCGAGAAAUUCUAUGGAUCUGAAGUUAUUAAAAGGAUGAAACGAUAGAUAGCCUUUACGUCAGCUUUGACCAGUCCAAACGCUCAUGGCGCACAAACUGAAAAUCUCCAACAGUUUUAUCACGCACCAAGACCGGCUAAGCACAAUGAUACAGGGAACACGAAAUCGUAAAAUGCUAAUCUUCCUGAAUCCACCAAAAUGCUAUGGCUGGCUAUGGUACUCGAUAUUUCAACCAUGAUAGACAAGAAUUCGUAAAACACAAGUACGUAAACAGCGAGGAAAACAUUUUCAUGAAUAUUCACGACCCAUCGAUUUUUUACGAAAUCAAUCGCUUAUGUAAACCUUACGUAAGAAUGAACGAGACCUCUCGAAUAAUAGAUGCAAAUGAAGAAUAUCUGACUAACAAUAAGACGUUCGACUUUAAUCCCCUCAUGAGGAAUGUUUUUUAAUUUUUAUUCUUCUACGAACAACUUUCGACGAAGAUGACAUUCUGUUUCACUUUAGUUAUACGAGACGAUCAAUUCAUUACAGUCAAUUCUAUACAAUCAUCAUUAAUGUAAAUUCAAAAGCAUGAACUUUAUCCGUUUAUGUGCUUAUUUUAAUAUCUUAAUAUCGUUGAUUAAAAAUUGUUGCUGUUCGCAUACGUCCACAUCCCAAAUACGUACACGCGGCGCAUGAAUGAAUCAUAUUUAAUUUAUGUUUGAAUUAUGAAAGAUGUUGGAUUAUGAACGAAACGUACGACUUUUAAAAGACAAAAGACAACACGUGUCAUCAGCGAGAAUUGUGCGAUUGAACAAAGUCUCAGAUAAGAAGAGCGCUGAUCUUUAAAUAAAAAUAGCAUCGCUUUCUAACAUACGAAUAACCAUUUCGUUUCAUUGAAACAUUAGGUUGUCCGAAAAGUUUCUUUCGUUU
Molecule: long non-coding RNA, 1144 nt
Organism: Bombus terrestris (buff-tailed bumblebee)
Lineage: Eukaryota; Metazoa; Arthropoda; Insecta; Hymenoptera; Apidae
Exons: 3
Source: RefSeq, a predicted model, not a curated record